AAUUCUAUUUCUAUAUGCACCCAAUAGCAGAGCUACAAAACAUAUCAAACACAAAUAAGAGAGUGAUUCAGUAAAAUUUAACUAGUGGAAUUUAUUGACUUAAGAAGUUAAGAUACAAAUUUACAACCAUAGUGGCAGGCAUUAAUCACUGUAGAAACAUAUUGAAAUAUGUUUCAGUAGAAACAUAAAAGGAAUAUGACCAACAUCUAUAGAACACAUUACCCACAAACAUCAGACUACAUAUUCUUUUCAAAUGCACAUGGAUUGUUUAUCCAAAUUCACUAUAUUCUGGUUUAAAGCAAGCCUCAAUUAAUUUCAAAGGCUUUAAAUCAUUCAGAAUAUAAUCUCUGAUCAAAAUAGCAUUCAGUGAGAUUUCAAUAUCAAAAGGAUAAUUAAACUUCAUUCCGGUACCUUGCUAGAUACAAAUGGUAUUUUUCAAAGAUAUUACCGCAGAAAAAACAUAAAGGCGAUCCAAGACCUGGGGUGAGGUAUAUGUUCCAGUCUCUGAGCAGAGCAGUGUAACAUCCGACUUAUGAACUGUAUUUCCUGUCUGGGACAGAAACUUCAAAUAGCCCAGCUACUCUACACUCAGGCAUCAGAGAAGGGUUGGUGUCUGGACUGGAGUGAGAACAGAAGAAAUUUCAACCAAGGGAAGAACUUUGAUCAUGCUCUGCCCUGGCCUGCUGUGGACAUUCAUAGCUUCCUUUGCCUUCAGAUCCAGCAUGGCUGACAGAGUAACCCAAGCUCAGGCUACAAUAACAGCGCAAGAAGGAGAAGCUGUGACCCUGCCCUGCACAUAUGAAACCAGUUCGAAUGUCUAUUAUUUGUACUGGUACAAGCAGCCUGCCAGUGGAGAGAUGGUUCUGCUUAUUACACAGCAUUCUAGUUAUUCAAAUGCAAAGCAGGGUGGCUACUCUGUCAACUUUCAAAAGGCAAAAAAGUCUAUCAGCCUCACCAUCUCCUCCUUGCAACCGGAAGACUCAGCGAAGUACUUCUGUGCUCUUUUAGAACACGAAUAUUGGUGGGCCUUCACUUCAGCAAAACAGCUCACCUUUGGAAGUGGGACCCAACUUACCGUGGAACCAAAAAGGCAGCCUCCUGCCAAACCAUCCGUUUUCAUCAUGAAAAAUGGGACGAAUGUUGCUUGUCUGGUGAAGGAUUUCUACCCCAAGGAUGUAAAUAUAAAUAUCAACUCAUCCAAGAAAAUAAUAGAAUUUGACCCAGCUGUUGUCGUGUCUCCCAGUGGGAAGUACAAUGCUGUCAAGCUCGGUCGGUAUGAAGAUCCAAACUCAGUGACAUGCUCAGUUCAACAUAACGAUGAAAUUUUGCACUCCACUGACUUUGAACCGAAGACAAAUUCUUCAAGUAAACUAAAGCCGAAGGAGCCUGAAAGCACAAAGCAAACUUCAGGGAUCUGCCGUGAACCCAAAGUUCAUGCCGAAAAGGUGAACAUGCUGUCUCUCACAGUGCUGGGGCUCCGGAUGCUGUUUGCCAAGAGUGUGGCCAUAAAUUUUCUUUUGACUGCCAAGUUAUUUUUCUUUUAAGGCCAUCUAGCAGGAGAACGCUACACUCCCUGAAAGAAAUCAAGAGCCCACAGAGGUGCUACCUGCUAGGCUUCUGACUUUUCGGCAAUUCAAUUUAACCUGUGCCACCUUUACUUAAAUGGCUGCUACCCAAACCAGUUUUCCUUUGAAAGCAACUAUCACAGAUCACCCUUCAGCCUGGUGAAAAGACAAAAGUCCCAGGAGUGGGGGUUAUGGUCUUAACUGCUUUAUAUGCUGCUUUAUAAAAGGAUAUAGGACUCAUUUUUUAUUUCAACAACUGAUGGACUUUGAAAAUGAUAUUUUGUUCCUUUGACUUUCUUUGCCUCCAGAAGAAGAAAGUGGGAGCCAAGAGAAACCCAGCUCCGUUUUCCAAGAGGAAAAUCUGCCCUCGGGGGAGGAGAGCAGGUGCCCUUUACCUAAACAUGGAAGGCUCUGCUCAACCCAGCACUAGAUUUGACCCAAACUGGCAUUCUCACCCAGUUUCUGCUUUUCCUAAUACUUUACAAACAAAAUUACAUUUGACUUCCCGGAUACUCUCUGUGCAGGCAGCAGGGUUUCUACAGUUUCCUCUAAAUACUCCCCAAGCUAUUCACAGAGAUCAGAGUAAAAUACAGAGGAAAUGCACUUUUUUAUUAAUUGACUUAACAAACACAAAUCAACUCCUUUUAAGCUUCAGGCUGUGCACUGAAGGUGUAAAUGUGCAUGAGACAUGGGCUUGUUCUCAAGUAGCCCACCAUACCAGGGGUUUGGGAGGGAGGGAGAGGAAUGAGCCCCUGAAGUUGCUCUGUAAAAACAGCUUCUUUACUGUCUUUUGCCUGCAAUCUGUGCACGGGGAGUUUGAGGUCACUGAACCCUGACUCUUGCCUGGCCCUUGGUGUUGAUGGUUUCCUGCCAUUCCCUGAAAUGGGCUCUGUUGCAUUUCUUAAAGUGCAUUGUGUGUCACUUGCCUCUGGUUUGACUCAUAGUGGACCACCGCAGGGGGAGAGUAGGGGCCGUGAACUGUUAGGCAAAAGCCACACUGAGCUUGUAGGUCACACCGCAGCUUCCUGUGCCCCAAGCCUGCAGGUUCCUGCCUUAGGGACCCAGCCCCAGGUUUCCUGCUGCUGCUAUUACAGCAAGACAACAGCAGUGCCCCUGGCGGAGCUGCAUCCCCAGUGCUGCUGCAUUGCUGGCGUGGCUGUGUUCCCAGAGUGGAGACGUCACCUGUGUGGCUGAAACGCUCCGUCACUCCCACCCCAGCAAGGCCACGGUGUUUUCCAGACGCACCCACUCAGGUAACAGAGCCCUGGAACUUGGUGUGGUUUCCUCUGUGCCUACGUGCGCAGUCAAGGGGCCUCAUGAGGUUGCAGGUGGAAAAGCAACACUUCCCAGCAACUGCCUCUGCCACUGCCAUCUGCAGGGCUCACCCUGUGACUUCGCAGCUCCUUUCUUCGCAAAGGAAGGCGUCAGCAGCACUCUGAGUCAAUGGGUUUAGGACAAUCUAGACGGAUAAGGCACGUCCAUCCAGCCUCCCCACAACUUCACCUUUUACGUGUAAAGAAGGCCUUUUCCAAAACGUUCACAUACCUUACCUUGGGUAAAAUGAGGAUGUUCUUGAGAAGUGGCUAAGAACAAACAGAUCACAUUUUCAUUUUCCAGAUGGAAUAAUAUACAUCCCCCCAAAAAAGUUACAUACCUUGUCCAAAGUGACUCAGUGAGGUGGGGACAUUGCUGUGAGCAGAGCCAAGUAAUCAAGAAUGCCAGCAGAGGACACAUUAGGGCCCUGCUAAAGGCCAGGCUGGAACAAGAAGUCACCAGGAAGAAGGACCCCAUGUUCAAAGACAUGAGCAGCCCUGAGAGGUAGCUGUCCCAGGCUGUGCCCUGGGACACAGGGAUUUUUGUGCAGACUUCCU
Non-coding RNA from Manis javanica (Malayan pangolin), 3436 nucleotides. The record is from the annotation of a RefSeq genome assembly. Lineage: Eukaryota; Metazoa; Chordata; Mammalia; Pholidota; Manidae.